This 73-nucleotide transfer RNA is filed under the name Ailuropoda melanoleuca (giant panda). It matches the Rfam family "tRNA". From Rfam's summary of the family: Transfer RNA (tRNA) molecules are approximately 80 nucleotides in length. Their secondary structure includes four short double-helical elements and three loops (D, anti-codon, and T loops). Lineage: Eukaryota; Metazoa; Chordata; Mammalia; Carnivora; Ursidae. The record is from Rfam by way of RNAcentral.
GUUUAGCUGGCUCAGUUGGUAGAGCAUGCAACUCUUGAUCUCAAGGUUGUGAGUUUGAGCCUCACGUUGGGUA